RNAcentral lists this ribosomal RNA (351 nucleotides) under uncultured Streptococcus sp. Its description in RNAcentral is "bacterial SSU rRNA". It matches the Rfam family "Bacterial small subunit ribosomal RNA", at positions 1033 to 1382 of the family's 1533-position model. The record is from RNAcentral. Lineage: Bacteria; Bacillati; Bacillota; Bacilli; Lactobacillales; Streptococcaceae.
GACAGGCGGUGCGAUGGUUGUCGUCAGCUCGUGUCGUGAGAUGUUGGGUUAAGUCCCGCAACGAGCGCAACCCCUAUUGUAGUUGCCAUCAUUCAGUUGGGCACUCUAGCGAGACUGCCGGUAAUAAACCGGAGGAAGGUGGGGAUGACGUCAAAUCAUCAUGCCCCUUAUGACCUGGGCUACACACGUGCUACAAUGGUUGGUACAACGAGUUGCGAGUCGGUGACGGCGAGCUAAUCUCUUAAAGCCAAUCUCAGUUCGGAUUGUAGGCUGCAACUCGCCUACAUGAAGUCGGAAUCGCUAGUAAUCGCGGAUCAGCACGCCCGCGGUUCCGAAUACGUUCCGGGCCUU